This 86-nucleotide transfer RNA is filed under the name Pycnococcus provasolii. RNAcentral describes it as "tRNA-Ser". It matches the Rfam family "tRNA". Rfam says of the family: Transfer RNA (tRNA) molecules are approximately 80 nucleotides in length. Their secondary structure includes four short double-helical elements and three loops (D, anti-codon, and T loops). The record is from RNAcentral. RNAcentral also lists the same sequence under 1 other name. Lineage: Eukaryota; Viridiplantae; Chlorophyta; Pseudoscourfieldiophyceae; Pseudoscourfieldiales; Pycnococcaceae.
GGAAAAGUGGCUGAGCGGUUUAAAGCUUCAGCUUGCUAAGCUGACUCUUAAUACUUAAGACGCAGGUUCGAAUCCUGUCUUUUCCG